UACGGAGGAUCCGAGCGUUAUCCGGAUUUAUUGGGUUUAAAGGGUGCGCAGGCGGGAGAUUAAGUCGGCGGUGAAAUUUUGCAGCUCAACUGUAACAUUGCCGUUGAUACUGGGGAGCUAGGAUUUGGUUGCUGUGGGUGGAAUGUGUGGUGUAGCGGUGAAAUGCUUAGAGAUCACACAGAAUAUCGAUUGCGAAGGCAGCUCACAAAGCCAAGAUUGACGCUGAGGCACGAAAGUGUGGGGAUCAAACAGGAUUA
This 257-nucleotide ribosomal RNA is filed under the name uncultured prokaryote. RNAcentral describes it as "partial 16S ribosomal RNA". It matches the Rfam family "Bacterial small subunit ribosomal RNA", at positions 524 to 780 of the family's 1533-position model. The record is from RNAcentral.